CAAAAACAUGGCUCCUUGAUAUUCAGCAAUAAGGAGUCGGACCUGCCCAGUGAAUAUUUUCAACGGCCGCGGUACUCUGACCGUGCAAAGGUAGCAUAAUCAUUUGCCUUAUAAUUGAAGGCUAGUAUGAAUGGUUUGACAAGAAUAUAGCUGUCUCUUUAUAAUUUAAUAGAAUUUUAUUUCUAGGUGAAGAAGCCUAAGUUUAAUUAAAAGACAAGAAGACCCUAUCGAGCUUAAAAAAAUUUAAUAGGGCCUAAAAUUAAUAUUAUUAAAAAAUUAUCUAUUAAGAACUUUAGUUGGGGCGACUGAGGAACAUAUAAAGCUUCUUUUACAAAUAGUUUUCACACUUGAAUUGAUCCAAAAUAUUUUGAUUAAAGAAAUUAGUUACCGUAGGGAUAACAGCAUUAUCUUCUUUAAGAGUUCGUAUCGAAAAGAAGGUUUGUGACCUCGAUGUUGGACCAGAAUAUCCUAAAGGUGCAGCAGCCUUUAAGGGUUGGUCUGUUCGACCAUUAAAAUUCUACGUGA
RNAcentral lists this ribosomal RNA (525 nucleotides) under Reticunassa neoproducta. Its description in RNAcentral is "partial 16S ribosomal RNA". It matches the Rfam family "Bacterial large subunit ribosomal RNA", at positions 1808 to 2603 of the family's 2925-position model. Lineage: Eukaryota; Metazoa; Mollusca; Gastropoda; Neogastropoda; Nassariidae. The record is from RNAcentral.